UCUGAAUCCAUAUUUUGUGACCGUGGUGCUUUUCAAUUCAUUUUCAGUUUAUGCGCCUAAUAGGCUGGCUAGGUGAAAUUAAGAGAUGGAGACACUUGCCCAAGGUCACCUACUGGGUUUUCAAGUUGCACGGGGGCUUAUAAAACCCUGAUCCAUUUAGAAUGAUGUGCACACGGGAGGCUUCAAUAGUAUACAUCUCUUACUGGGUUUGGAACCAUGUGCACAAAUGGAUAUUGCAUGUAUUGCUCAAGGACAUCAUGUAAUAUCCAAUUUGUGUGUGUGUGUCUUUCUUAUGUCAGGAAACUGGUAGCUGCAAGCAUAGACCAGACCAAGAUCAUCAGCCCUGAUAGUACAACUCAGCGGGAGUAAAGGCAGAUAUUCAGCCUGGUUUGGUUUCUGUGAAUUUCCGUGUGAACUGAUCUCCUGAUUUGCAUAUUUCAGAGCAAUGUGCAGACCAGGAAGUGAUUUCCCUUAGAAUUUCAAAAUCCUCCCAAUUUUGUGAUAUACUUACUGUCUCCAAAAAUAGUCAUACCAAAAUGUGUGGGAAAUGUGUAUUUAAACAGGCAUACAUUUGAAGUGCCUGAAGACAGUCAGGUCAUGUAUCUACAGCAGUGAUCAGACGAGGAAUGACCACUUGGAAGAGCGCAGAGAGAAGAAACAUCAUGGUGCAUCUGCGGCAGCACAACCGGAUGCCUUCCUCUGCCUCAGCUGCAAUGAAACAUGUCUCUCCCCUAUCAGUCUCUACAGUCACAGCAGGCACUGCAACUUUCCAGCAGUUUGACCUCACCCCACCCCCCAAAGAUAUCGCCUGGCUGGAGCAUGACCGGGGACGCAGACGUAAUCAAGUAUCGGGGGAACAUCUGAGGGAAACACCUCCUAACACGUGUAUUUGCUAACGCUGGAAAUGUGCUUAGAUGGAAAUACGUUAAGUUCAGGGUGGUUUCACUACUGUUUCCAAUUGUUGUAAAAGGUAAAGAUAAAGGGACCCCUGACCAUUAGGUCCAGUCGUGACCGACUCUGGGGUUGCGGCGCUCAUCUCGCUUUAUUGGCUGAGGGAGCCAGCGUACAUCUUCUGGGUCAUGUGGCCAGCAUGACUAAGCUGCU
RNAcentral lists this long non-coding RNA (1104 nucleotides) under Podarcis muralis (Common wall lizard). Its description in RNAcentral is "lncRNA (ENSPMRG00000002146.1)". Lineage: Eukaryota; Metazoa; Chordata; Lepidosauria; Squamata; Lacertidae. The record is from RNAcentral.